This 45-nucleotide non-coding RNA is filed under the name Schistosoma mansoni. The record is from RNAcentral. Lineage: Eukaryota; Metazoa; Platyhelminthes; Trematoda; Strigeidida; Schistosomatidae.
AUCCAGUUGACGGAUCCUAUAUAGGACGAAACAAGUGUCAUGGAU